This 363-nucleotide ribosomal RNA is filed under the name uncultured bacterium. Its description in RNAcentral is "partial 16S ribosomal RNA". It matches the Rfam family "Bacterial small subunit ribosomal RNA", at positions 338 to 698 of the family's 1533-position model. The record is from RNAcentral.
CCUACGGGUGGCAGCAGUGAGGAAUAUUGGUCAAUGGACGAGAGUCUGAACCAGCCAAGUAGCGUGAAGGAUGACUGCCCUAUGGGUUGUAAACUUCUUUUAUAAGGGAAUAAAAUGUUCCACGUGUGGGAUUUUGUAUGUACCAUAUGAAUAAGGACAGGCCAACUCCGUGCCAGCAGCCGCGGUAAUACGGAGGAUCCGAGCGUUAUCCGGAUUUAUUGGGUUUACAGGGAGCGUAGGGGGUUUGUUAAUGCAGUUGUGUAAGUUUGCGGCUCCACCGUAAAAUUGCCGUUGCAACGGGCAUUCUUGAUUACAGUAGAGGUGGGCGUAAUUCGUGGUGUAGCGGUGACCUGCUUAGAUAUC